RNAcentral lists this microRNA (20 nucleotides) under Selaginella moellendorffii. Its description in RNAcentral is "smo-miR319". Its record names the gene smo-miR319. The record is from miRBase by way of RNAcentral. Lineage: Eukaryota; Viridiplantae; Streptophyta; Lycopodiopsida; Selaginellales; Selaginellaceae.
UGCUGCCGACUCAUGCAUCC